This is a long non-coding RNA of Protopterus annectens (West African lungfish), 313 nucleotides long. RefSeq lists it as uncharacterized. NCBI's taxonomy places the organism in Eukaryota, Metazoa, Chordata, Ceratodontiformes, Protopteridae. The record is from RefSeq and is a predicted model, not a curated record. The transcript is spliced from 3 exons.
ACAUAUAAGUAGUAUAUUUAUGUAGGAUUUAUUAGUAUUUCCUCCUUCUGUAAUUCAUACAGGAUGCACAUAUAGGUAGCAUAUUUAUGUAGGAUUUAUUAGUAUUUCCUCCUUCUGUAAUUCAUACAGGAUACACAUAUAGGUAGUAUAUUUAUGUAGGAUUUAUUAGUAUUUCCUCCUUCUGUAAUACAUACUGGAUACACAUAUAAGUAGUAUAUUUAUGUAGGAUUUAUUAGUAUUUCCUCCUUCUGUAAUUCAUACAGGAUGCACAUAUAGGUAGCAUAUUUAUGUAGGAUUUAUUAGUAUUUCCUCC